AAUAUAAAAUACAAUAAUUUUUGGUUGGAAUACAAUAUCAAAAGGCUUGAGAUAUUGAUAUAUAGAAAGACAGUUUGUGAGGCUCCAAAAGAUAAAUAUCUACCGCCGGUCACACAAUCAAUUUUCUUGCAAGCACGCAGAGAUACAGUCCAUAACGUGCACGCAUGAAUGAAUUGAGAUUGAGGGGAGAGAUAUAAGUGCCAUCAACGCCACUGCUUCUAUCUAUAAUGUCAGUGAAACAUCUGCAUUCUCCAUCGUUAAAGUGCGAAUGUCUAACGAUGAAAACAAGCAUGGAUAGAUGGAUCCUCCUGGAAUUGCAAGCCUGCUUCAAAGUUCACCUUAUGUGGAGACAUUGGUUAUAGACAUCAUAUCCUCCAAUCGCAUAGGGUUUAGAGUUUCUAGUUAGAAGUUAUAAUGCUGUGAACCAUUGGAAAUCAGAGGAGAUCUAUUUCAAGUCUUUGCUACAACGCCUCAAGACUGUCAAGAUCUUUGGUUUUGGAGAAAUUUUCCACCCAAAUGAUGUAUUCAUUUUAGCAGUACAAUUUCUACUUAAGAAUGCAAAGGUACUGGAGAAGAUGGUUAUCACUAAACCACAAGUUAUGCAAAAUCAAAUGCGUAAUAUGUUACAUGAAUUUCUACAAGUGGCGCAAAAGUUAUUAAGCUUCCCUAGAUCCUUUCCUCAUGCAGUGGUUAUGCUUCCAUAUUUGUAAAAUCAUUUUAAGUUGUUUGAUAAUCUUAAAUGAUCAAAUUCUCCUAAAUACAUUGUUGUUCUGUAGA
Long non-coding RNA from Quercus lobata, 777 nucleotides. RefSeq lists it as uncharacterized. Lineage: Eukaryota; Viridiplantae; Streptophyta; Magnoliopsida; Fagales; Fagaceae. The record is from RefSeq and is a predicted model, not a curated record. The transcript is spliced from 3 exons.